This 792-nucleotide long non-coding RNA is filed under the name Musa acuminata (dwarf banana). RNAcentral's name for it is "long non-coding RNA (MACU_LNC007547)". Lineage: Eukaryota; Viridiplantae; Streptophyta; Magnoliopsida; Zingiberales; Musaceae. The record is from RNAcentral.
UAUUCUUCUGUAACUCCUCCAUGUACUUAUGAAUUACGAUGACCUCCUUGAAUAUCAUUGUGCAUUCAUUUUCUUUGUAUUUAACUAUUAAAAGAUGAUUGCAUUAUUUCACAGUGAAUUGGUUUGUGGAGCUUGCAUUAUCAUACUAGAUUACUUUAUCAAGUGUCAGGAAAAAAAAGAAGUCAUUCUAUCAUACAUUUAUCUAUGAAUCGUUUGUUUUAAGCAUCAAGAUAGAUGUCCAUGAAUGACAGAGGUUGCGUGACAUGGGCCAGCCGCCUCAAGCCUUGUUCCCUGAGGGAAAACAGAAAAAGAAACAAUAAGGAUCCAUAAUAAAUUUCAUCAUUAGUCUGGUCUGCUGCACUGACAUUAGAAAUUUCAUGUAUACGUACGGCACCUGACUUUAAUUAGAAAAGCGUAGCACAUGCUGUAAUAACCAAUUAUGUAACAUUAGAAAUCUGAUUUAGAUAGGAAAACAAAGUUCUAAGAAUCUUGACCAAUAUUGAUCUAAAAUUUGCUACAGAAAAGGUUGACCUUGCAACUCUACUAGAUUUUGAUGUUGGGGUGGUAGAUGGGUUUGUGCCUUGUAUUAUGCAGAAAUCUGUGGAUUCUGUCCACGUAGGAGUCAAACAAUAUGAACUGUAACAUGAUACGCAGAUUGCCAAGAUGACCCUCUUCCUGGCUGUCACCCUGUUCUUUCUCCAGUGUUGCGGUUGACCUGAUAUGGGGCAAGAUCUUUUAGGUUUUAUCAUGAGAAACUUCAGAAUCAGUAGGUUUUCAUUGGAAGCACCAUGA